AACGAACGCUGGCGGCAUGCCUAACACAUGCAAGUCGAACGAUGCCUUCGGGCAUAGUGGCGCACGGGUGCGUAACGCGUGGGAAUCUGCCCUUGGCCUCGGAAUAACAGUUAGAAAUGACUGCUAAUACCGGAUGAUGUCCCCCUGAGAGAUCUUGGGGACCAAAGAUUUAUCGGCCAGGGAUGAGCCCGCGUAGGAUUAGGUGGGUGGUGGGGUAAAGGCCUACCAAGCCGACGAUCCGUAGCUGGUCUGAGAGGAUGAUCAGCCACACGGGGACUGAGCCACGGUCCAGACUCCUGCGCGAGGCAGCAGUGGGGAAUAUUGGCCAAUGGGGUGAACCCUGAUCCAGCAAUGCCGCGUGAGUGAUUAAGGCCUUAGGGUUGUACAGCUCUUUUAUCCGGGAUUAUAAUGACAGUACCUGGAGAAUAAGCUCCGGCUAACUCCGUG
RNAcentral lists this ribosomal RNA (447 nucleotides) under uncultured bacterium. RNAcentral's name for it is "partial 16S ribosomal RNA". It matches the Rfam family "Bacterial small subunit ribosomal RNA", at positions 29 to 507 of the family's 1533-position model. The record is from RNAcentral.